Long non-coding RNA from Eriocheir sinensis (Chinese mitten crab), 1620 nucleotides. RefSeq lists it as uncharacterized. Lineage: Eukaryota; Metazoa; Arthropoda; Malacostraca; Decapoda; Varunidae. The transcript has 3 exons. The record is from RefSeq and is a predicted model, not a curated record.
CAAUUUUUUAUACAUUAAUUUAACAUAUUUUUUUGGAUUUGGCAGGUUAACAAUUUUUCAUACAUUAAUUUAACAUAUUUUUUUGGAUUUGGCAGGUUAACAAUUUUUUAUACAUUAAUUUAACAUAUUUUUUUGGAUUUGGCAGGUUAACAAUUUUUUAUACAUUAAUUUAACAUAUUUUUUUGGAUUUGGCAGGUUAACAAUUUUUUAUACAUUGAUUUAACAUAUUUUUUUGCAUUUAGCAGGUUAACCAUUUUUUAUACAUUAAUUUAACAUCUUUUGAGCAAUUUAUCUCAGCCCACCACUGAAAAAGAGAAAAAAUGUAGCUCUAGGAAUACACUCCACAUAGCUGUUGUGUCACUGUGUGCGUUUGUGUGUCUCAGGCCGUGAAGAACACCCAUCAACGACUAGUAUGAUCUCCAGUGUUUGUGUCUGUGUUUGUCCACUCCACUCACAUCACCUCAUGUCAACACACCUUAUGUCACCUCACUGUAAUGCCAGGAAGUCUAGGCAUGUUAUGUGAUAGCUUUUGGGAGCAGUAAGUAGCGGGCUUUAUUUUCAUUAUUGUUUUAUAUAUUUAUUUUCACGCCCUUGAACUCUCCAUUUCCGUAAAAAAACGCUAAAUUGUCCUUAUCACACUUCUCACCCUGUUAAUAUAGACAGUAUAGCUAUUUCACAUUAUCAGGGUGAGACAAGUGUAAUAUAUAUUGUUCUGAUAAUAUAUAGACAGUUUAGCUAUUUCAUGUUAACAGGGCAGGACAAGUAUAAUAUGUAUUGUCCUGCUAAUAAGAGACAGUUUAUCUGUUAUAUGUUAGCAGUGCGAGAUGAGUGUAACAUGUGCUGUUUUGCUAAUAUUGACAGUUAAGUAACAUGCCCAAAUUUCCCGGCAUUAUGUCACCUCACAUUUGCUCACCUCUGCAUCUCCUCACCUCCGAGUAUUUUGUAGAAGUGUUCCAUUUCAUCACCUAUACAUAGACUUUCAUGGCUGUCAACAGAGUACUGAAGACUAUAAGGCUGGUAUUAUAAGACAUUCGCUUCUCACAUCAACCAUUUCUAAAGGUCAAAGAGGGGGUCAGACGGGUUCCUAUGAGUGUUUCUUCAGGUUCAUGGUACAGAAGAAGACUCACACUACCACCAGGGUCAUAAAACUACCCCUGGAAAUGCCCACAACUCCUACGAAAGCCUUGUCAAAUAUGUGUUCUUGGGCGGCGAUGUGUCUUGUAAAACGACCCUUAGAGUUUGGUAUUAUAAGACAUUCUCGCUUCUCAUAUCACCUAUUUUUAAAGGUCAAAGAAGUGGGGUCAGUCGGGUUCCUAUGAGUGUUUCUUCAGGUUCACGGUACAGAAGAAGACUCACACUACCACCAGGGUCAUAAAACUACCCCUGGAAAUGCCCACAACUCCUACGAAAGCCUUGUCAAAUAUGUGCUCUUGGGCGGCGAUGUCUUGUAAUACGACCCUUCGUAAAUGUUUGGUGCUGAAUGGUAGCUCACGACAAGACAGAAUCAAAACUAAAUGUAACCGUUUUUUUGGCAUUGUGAAUUUAUUUAUUGCCAGGUUGAUUGACUGUCGCCUGCAAUGUUGUUACGUCACCAUUGUUAGAAUAAAAGAUGACUAGACA